AAUGUCCCCAAUGGACAAGGGAUAAGCGGCCAGGUUUCUUCUGUACCAAGCUCACAGCAGAAAAUAAUCAACUCACCUUGGGAGCACUGUGGUCCAGCUGCUUCCUGGAAAGAAGCAGCUCCUCUGCACCAAGAUGCCUCCUCUGCCACCAACAGGACUGGUCAUACCUGUCCUGCUGCGCACACAGU
Molecule: long non-coding RNA, 188 nt
Organism: Dipodomys spectabilis (banner-tailed kangaroo rat)
Lineage: Eukaryota; Metazoa; Chordata; Mammalia; Rodentia; Heteromyidae
Exons: 3
Source: RefSeq, a predicted model, not a curated record